RNAcentral lists this ribosomal RNA (750 nucleotides) under uncultured bacterium. Its description in RNAcentral is "bacterial SSU rRNA". It matches the Rfam family "Bacterial small subunit ribosomal RNA", at positions 42 to 791 of the family's 1533-position model. The record is from RNAcentral.
UUGGGGGGUUUACAUGGCAGUCGAGCNGAGCGAUUUUGAGGAAGUUUUCGGAUGGAAUCGAAAUUGACUUAGCGGCGGACGGGUGAGUAACACGUGGGUAAUCUGCCUUAUACAGGGGGAUAACAGUUAGAAAUGACUGCUAAUACCGCAUAAGCGCACGGGGACGCAUGUUUCUGUGCGAAAAACUCCGGUAGUAUAAGAUGAGCCCGCGUCUGAUUAGCUGGUUGGUGGGGUAACGGCCUGCCAAGGCGACGAUCAGUAGCCGGCCUGAGAGGGUGAACGGCCACAUUGGGACUGAGACACGGCCCAAACUCCUACGGGAGGCAGCAGUGGGGAAUAUUGCACAAUGGGGGAAACCCUGAUGCAGCGACGCCGCGUGAGUGAAGAAGUAUUUCGGUAUGUAAAGCUCUAUCAGCAGGGAAGAAAAAAGACGGUACCUGACUAAGAAGCCCCGGCUAACUACGUGCCAGCAGCCGCGGUAAUACGUAGGGGGCAAGCGUUAUCCGGAUUUACUGGGUGUAAAGGGAGCGUAGACGGCGCGGCAAGUCUGAAGUGAAAGGCAGGGGCUUAACCCCUGAACUGCUUUGGAAACUGCCAUGCUAGAGUGCUGGAGAGGUAAGUGGAAUUCCUAGUGUAGCGGUGAAAUGCGUAGAUAUUANGAGGAACACCAGUGGCGAAGGCGGCUUACUGGACAGUAACUGACGUUGAGGCUCGAAAGCGUGGGGAGCAAACAGGAUUAGAUACCCUGGU